GUUGACCUCGGAUCAGGUAGGAAGACCCGCUGAACUUAA
RNAcentral lists this ribosomal RNA (39 nucleotides) under Chaetomium globosum. Its description in RNAcentral is "partial 28S ribosomal RNA". RNAcentral also lists the same sequence under 29 other names. The record is from RNAcentral. Lineage: Eukaryota; Fungi; Ascomycota; Sordariomycetes; Sordariales; Chaetomiaceae.